Non-coding RNA from Ceratotherium simum simum (southern white rhinoceros), 135 nucleotides. The record is from RefSeq and is a predicted model, not a curated record. Lineage: Eukaryota; Metazoa; Chordata; Mammalia; Perissodactyla; Rhinocerotidae.
CUCUUCUCUGGGACAGGGAGAAAUUUUCUGAUAGGGAUGAAAAGGAAAAAAACGGCAAAAGACACAGACACGAAAAGAUGCGCUCCUUAGUUUUUCUUUGAGGCAUUUACUGUAUAGUUGACAAUAAACUAGUCA